GACGAACGCUGGCGGCGUGCUUAACACAUGCAAGUCGAACGGAAAGGCCCUGCUUUUGUGGGGUGCUCGAGUGGCGAACGUGUGAGUAACACGUGAGUAACCUGCCCUUGACUUUGGUAUAACUUCAGGAAACUGGGGCUAAUACCGGAUAGGAGCUCCUGCUGCAUGGUGUGGGUUGGAAAGUUUCGGCGGUUGGGGAUGGACUCGCGGCUUAUCAGCUUGUUGGUGGGGUAGUGGCUUACCAAGGCUUUGACGGGUAGCCGGCCUGAGAGGGUGACCGGCCACAUUGGGACUGAGAUACGGCCCAGACUCCUACGGGAGGCAGCAGUGGGGAAUAUUGCACAAUGGGCGGAAGCCUGAUGCAGCAACGCCGCGUGCGGGAUGACGGCCUUCGGGUUGUAAACCGCUUUCGCCUGUGACGAAGCGUGAGUGACGGUAAUGGGUAAAGAAGCACCGGCUAACUACGUG
This 468-nucleotide ribosomal RNA is filed under the name uncultured bacterium. RNAcentral describes it as "partial 16S ribosomal RNA". It matches the Rfam family "Bacterial small subunit ribosomal RNA", at positions 28 to 507 of the family's 1533-position model. The record is from RNAcentral.